This 407-nucleotide ribosomal RNA is filed under the name Verrucomicrobiota bacterium. RNAcentral's name for it is "Verrucomicrobia bacterium partial 16S ribosomal RNA". It matches the Rfam family "Bacterial small subunit ribosomal RNA", at positions 355 to 776 of the family's 1533-position model. The record is from RNAcentral. Lineage: Bacteria; Pseudomonadati; Verrucomicrobiota.
UGGGGAAUAUUGGACAAUGGAGGCAACUCUGAUCCAGCAAUUCUGUGUGUGUGAAGAAGGUUUUAGGACUGUAAAACACUUUUAGUAGGGAAGAAAAAAAUGACGGUACCUACAGAAGAAGCGACGGCUAAAUACGUGCCAGCAGCCGCGGUAAUACGUAUGUCGCGAGCGUUAUCCGGAAAUAUUGGGCUUAAAGGGCAUCUAGGCGGUUAAACAAGUUGAAGGUGAAAACCUGUGGCUCAACCAUAGGCUUGCCUACAAAACUGUAGAACUAGAGUACUGGAAAGGUGGGUGGAACUACACGAGUAGAGAUGAAAUUCGUAGAUAUGUGUAGGAAUGCCGAUGAUGAAGAUAACUCACUGGACAGCAACUGACGCUGAAGUGCGAAAGCUAGGGGAGCAAACAGG